UCCCUGGUGGUCCAGUGGCUAAGACACUGUGCUCUCAAUACAAAGGGCCUGGGUUCGAUCCCUGGCUGGGGAA
Molecule: transfer RNA, 73 nt
Filed under: Bos taurus (domestic cattle)
Lineage: Eukaryota; Metazoa; Chordata; Mammalia; Artiodactyla; Bovidae
Also listed under: 5 other names
Rfam family: tRNA
About the family: Transfer RNA (tRNA) molecules are approximately 80 nucleotides in length. Their secondary structure includes four short double-helical elements and three loops (D, anti-codon, and T loops). Further hydrogen bonds mediate the characteristic L-shaped molecular structure. tRNAs have two regions of fundamental functional importance: the anti-codon, which is responsible for specific mRNA codon recognition, and the 3' end, to which the tRNAs corresponding amino acid is attached (by aminoacyl-tRNA synthetases). tRNAs cope with the degeneracy of the genetic code in two manners: having more than one tRNA (with a specific anti-codon) for a particular amino acid; and 'wobble' base-pairing, i.e. permitting non-standard base-pairing at the 3rd anti-codon position.
Source: Rfam by way of RNAcentral